RNAcentral lists this long non-coding RNA (240 nucleotides) under Vigna radiata. Its description in RNAcentral is "long non-coding RNA (VRAD_LNC001143)". Lineage: Eukaryota; Viridiplantae; Streptophyta; Magnoliopsida; Fabales; Fabaceae. The record is from RNAcentral.
CCCCCAAAACAUGGAAAAACUCGCUCUGAAAUCCAACGCGUCUGUUCCCUCCCUCUACCUCACCUCAUCAGCAACUCCCACUCCGCCUCCCUUCACCGCCCUCGACGUUGACUCCUCCUCCGUCGCAUCCAAAAAGGAACGCUCCCGGAGCGCCCGCCAGCUCUCCUCGGUAUGCCUUCUCAAAUGCUAAAAACUCUAUGCCUCGCUUGGUUGGCUUUACGGUGGCAUCUUCCACCUCGC